ACGUUUAGCGUUUCAUGCGACUGUAUGUAAUUGACCUAAUAUGUGUUUAAAUUACAAGAGACAGGACUUUGGAUCAAAUCAGCGCAGCAUCCAUCAGGACAAUCAGUUUCACCGCCUUGCCAGUCCACUACCCACAAUUCCAGUGCUGCACUGGGACUUUCCUGAUGAAAGAAUGUGAGUAUGCGGUUGUCUAUUAAGAUAUGUAAAUUUGUAAUCUCUCAAAGCCCGCU
This 230-nucleotide long non-coding RNA is filed under the name Danio rerio (zebrafish). RNAcentral's name for it is "lncRNA (ENSDARG00000117314.1)". Lineage: Eukaryota; Metazoa; Chordata; Actinopteri; Cypriniformes; Danionidae. The record is from RNAcentral.